CUCCGGCGACACCGAGUGGCGAACGGGUGCGUAACACGUGAGAAACCAACCCCGAAGUGCGGAAUAACCCCGGGAAACCGGGGCUAAUACCGUAUACCCCUCACCGACCGCAUGGUCGGUGACGGAAAGCUCCGGCGCUUUGGGACGGUCUCGCGGCCUAUCAGCUUGUUGGUGAGGUAACGGCUCACCAAGGCAACGACGGGUAGCUGGUCUGAGAGGACGAUCAGCCACACUGGGACUGAGACACGGCCCAG
Molecule: ribosomal RNA, 254 nt
Filed under: uncultured bacterium
Lineage: Bacteria
Description: partial 16S ribosomal RNA
Rfam family: Bacterial small subunit ribosomal RNA
Source: RNAcentral